GUUAAAUAUUUCGUAAAGUUUUACCUAUAGAUCUCCAACAUUUUAGUUUCAAUCUGACUUUGUAAAGAGACAGUCAGUACCAUGAAGACACUUUUUCCGAUAUUCAUGUUUGCAGUAAUGAAUUGCAAUUAUUUCAAUGUUACUUCAAAAGACUUAGGCCACAUAAGUAUUUUUGAAGGUGACUAUUUGCGCGAUGAAACAAUUUCCCUCGAAGGCGAUGACAUGUUGACAAUCAAGGGAAUAGUACUGAAACGUAUUUUCCCAGUACUGGAGGAGAGGCACACACUACCUUGGAAUAUGUGGCCGAUAAGUUGGGAUAUAGAGCCAAAUUUAAAUUGCGGACAAGUUCUGGCGUCAGUAUAGCAGUUUUACCGCCCUUGAGCGCAUCGUCAAUUAAAUCAUUGGUGGGAUAGAUGGGGUGAUAUUGCAAGUUUUUAUUAAUUUGAAUAAUAUAAGAAAAGUUGUGGAAGUUAUUAAAGAGAAGUGAGAAGUCAUUUAAAAUUAUAAUAUUU
This is a long non-coding RNA of Musca domestica (house fly), 512 nucleotides long. RefSeq lists it as uncharacterized. The transcript has 3 exons. The record is from RefSeq and is a predicted model, not a curated record. NCBI's taxonomy places the organism in Eukaryota, Metazoa, Arthropoda, Insecta, Diptera, Muscidae.